GAGGACUGCCAGCAGGCUGUCACCUCUCACCAGGUUGGCAGAAAAAGAAAACAUUAGCAGCCAAAUUAGCCAGUCUGCCUGUGGAAUGAAGGCUCCAGUUUUUGACCUCUAAUGAAAGAAGAAAGAAUACUCAUUGAGGUUUCAGCUGCUUGGGGCCAUUUAGGCAUGGAUUUUCUUCUGCCUCUGCCACCUGGAGACAGGAAGACCAACCCCUCCUGCCCUCCUCCUCCCUAGCCUAGCCAAUGUGAAGAUGACAAGAAUGAAGACGUUUAUGAUGAUCCACUUCCACUUGA
This 293-nucleotide long non-coding RNA is filed under the name Homo sapiens (human). RNAcentral describes it as "HSALNT0312547". Lineage: Eukaryota; Metazoa; Chordata; Mammalia; Primates; Hominidae. The record is from RNAcentral.